GAUGGUGCAGCUCAGUGAUAAAGCACUUGCCUGGCAUGAGCAAAGUCUUGGGUUUAAUUCCCAGCACCACUA
RNAcentral lists this transfer RNA (72 nucleotides) under Ictidomys tridecemlineatus (thirteen-lined ground squirrel). RNAcentral's name for it is "Spermophilus tridecemlineatus (thirteen-lined ground squirrel) tRNA". It matches the Rfam family "tRNA". Rfam says of the family: Transfer RNA (tRNA) molecules are approximately 80 nucleotides in length. The record is from Rfam by way of RNAcentral. Lineage: Eukaryota; Metazoa; Chordata; Mammalia; Rodentia; Sciuridae.